This 23-nucleotide microRNA is filed under the name Petromyzon marinus (sea lamprey). Its description in RNAcentral is "pma-miR-30e-5p". Its record names the gene pma-miR-30e-5p. The record is from miRBase by way of RNAcentral. Lineage: Eukaryota; Metazoa; Chordata; Hyperoartia; Petromyzontiformes; Petromyzontidae.
UGUAAACAUCUCAACUGGAAGCU